GCCCGGGUGGUGAAACUGGUAGACACAGGGGACUUAAAAUCCCCAGACCGCAAGGUCAUGCUGGUUCGAUUCCAGCCCCGGGCA
Molecule: transfer RNA, 84 nt
Filed under: Betaproteobacteria bacterium RIFCSPHIGHO2_12_FULL_69_13
Lineage: Bacteria; Pseudomonadati; Pseudomonadota; Betaproteobacteria
Also listed under: 1 other name
Description: tRNA-Leu
Rfam family: tRNA
About the family: Transfer RNA (tRNA) molecules are approximately 80 nucleotides in length. Their secondary structure includes four short double-helical elements and three loops (D, anti-codon, and T loops). Further hydrogen bonds mediate the characteristic L-shaped molecular structure. tRNAs have two regions of fundamental functional importance: the anti-codon, which is responsible for specific mRNA codon recognition, and the 3' end, to which the tRNAs corresponding amino acid is attached (by aminoacyl-tRNA synthetases). tRNAs cope with the degeneracy of the genetic code in two manners: having more than one tRNA (with a specific anti-codon) for a particular amino acid; and 'wobble' base-pairing, i.e. permitting non-standard base-pairing at the 3rd anti-codon position.
Source: RNAcentral